CUUUAGUACAACCAUAAGUUUUUUCCCAACUUUAAUCGUUCAUCUUAUUUAAACUUUUCUUAUAAUUAGUAUUUUUGUUGUUAUAAGAUGAUAAAACAUAAAUAAUACUUUACUCGUGACUUAUGUACUUAAAUUUUUUUUAAAUUUUUUUAAAUAAGACAGACGGUUAAAGUUGAGCGGGGAAAAUCAUAACAACACUUAAA
Oryza barthii is the source of this 203-nucleotide non-coding RNA. NCBI's taxonomy places the organism in Eukaryota, Viridiplantae, Streptophyta, Magnoliopsida, Poales, Poaceae. The record is from Rfam.